Molecule: long non-coding RNA, 247 nt
Filed under: Mustela putorius furo (domestic ferret)
Lineage: Eukaryota; Metazoa; Chordata; Mammalia; Carnivora; Mustelidae
Description: lncRNA (ENSMPUG00000031478.1)
Source: RNAcentral
GGCUCCUUCUGCGCAAGGGCAGCCGUAGCUCCGCCUCCUCAUUCGUCUAAUCUUGGACUGCAGGAAAGCGCUUUGAGAGAACCCCCGGGUCUACUCGGAAAGUAAAGGAUGAGAGCAUGCGCUGAACCACAGUUCUCUACACUCUCCCAAGAUCCACAGAAAAUGAACACACCUCAGGUGAGCUUUUCAUUUAUUCCCUACUUAGUAUUGUAAUGGAUUUUUGAGGUUUAGACAGAUCCAGGUAUUA